This is a long non-coding RNA of Sander lucioperca (pikeperch), 223 nucleotides long. RefSeq lists it as uncharacterized. The transcript is spliced from 3 exons. NCBI's taxonomy places the organism in Eukaryota, Metazoa, Chordata, Actinopteri, Perciformes, Percidae. The record is from RefSeq and is a predicted model, not a curated record.
AUUUCAAAAAAUUUAAAGAGGCCUGUUUAACGUGCAGAGGCAGAUCAUUCCAUAAUUUAGGAGCCGACACAGCAAAGGCACGGUCCCCUCUGAGCUUCCGCUUAGUUUUAGGCACACUCAGGAGCAGCUGAUCCUCUGACCUGAGAGAGCGAGUGGGUAUAUAAGGGCGUAGAAGCUCAGAGAGGUAGGGCAGGGCAAGACCAUUCAGGGCUUUAAAAGCAAA